CCAGCUCCAAUAGCGUAUAUUAAUACUGUUGCAGUUAAAACGCUCGUAGUUGAACUUAGAAUUAUUACAAGUUGUUUCACUUGAUUGUGAAAUGCUUGCUUAAUUCUUAUCUACUGGAUACUCUGCUCUGUACUUAAUUGUAUGGAGUAUCGCCUAGCCAGCGGAGCAGAGGUUUGUAAAUUCCUAAUUUUGCACAAAGAAGUAAAAUUCUGACAUGUGAUUUUGGGAUUGAAUUUAUGGAUCUUUGUGGGGUGCCAGUUAAUUUACCUUGAGUAAAUUAGAGUGUUCAAAGCAGCCUCUUGGGGCUUUGAAUAAUUUAGCAUGGGAUAAUGAAAUAGGAUUGGAUUCCUAUUUGUUGGUUUGAUGAAUCCAAUAAUGAUUAAGAGGGACAGUUGGGGGCACUCAUAUUAAGUGGUUAGCGGUGAAAUGUGUUGACCCACUUAAGAUGAACCAAAGCGAAAGCAUUUGCCAAGGAUGUUUUCAUUAAUCAAGAACGAAAGUUAAGGGAUCGAAGACGAUUAGAUACCGUCGUAGUCUUAACUAUAAACCAUGCCGACCAGGGAUAUGAGUAGUUUAUUUCUGAAUCACUCAGGUGAGUCAGAUACUUCUCCUUAUGCACCUUGUGAGAAAUCAUAAGUUUUUGGGUUCUGGGGGAAGUAUGGUCGCAAGGCUGAAACUUUAAGGAAUUGACGGAGGGGCACCACCAGGAGUGGAGCGUGCGGCUUAAUUCGACUCAAC
Molecule: ribosomal RNA, 738 nt
Filed under: uncultured eukaryote
Lineage: Eukaryota
Description: bacterial SSU rRNA
Rfam family: Eukaryotic small subunit ribosomal RNA
Source: RNAcentral